UCCGGCUUAUCACCGGCGGUUUCUUUAGAGUGCCCAACUAAAUGAUGGCAACUAAAGACGAGGGUUGCGCUCGUUGCGGGACUUAACCCAACAUCUCACGACACGAGCUGACGACAGCCAUGCAGCACCUGUUCUCCGACCUAUUGCUAGGAGGAAUCCAUUUCUGGAAACCGCCCGGAGAAUGUCAAGGACUGGUAAGGUUCUUCGCGUUGCGUCGAAUUAAACCACAUGCUCCACCGCUUGUGCGGGUCCCCGUCAAUUCCUUUGAGUUUUAAACUUGCGACCGUACUCCCCAGGCGGCGAACUUAACGCGUUAGCUUCGAUACUGAGAGCCUAGUUGCUCCCAACAUCCAGUUCGCAUCGUUUAGGGCGUGGACUAC
Molecule: unclassified non-coding RNA, 380 nt
Filed under: uncultured Pseudomonadota bacterium
Lineage: Bacteria; Pseudomonadati; Pseudomonadota
Description: uncultured proteobacterium contains 16S-23S intergenic spacer region
Source: RNAcentral